Molecule: long non-coding RNA, 915 nt
Organism: Myzus persicae (green peach aphid)
Lineage: Eukaryota; Metazoa; Arthropoda; Insecta; Hemiptera; Aphididae
Exons: 5
Source: RefSeq, a predicted model, not a curated record
GUCUUUGAAUACCUGUCAAACAGUUCAGAAUUCAAAUAUUCUGCAUUUGAUUCAAACACUUGCAACAUUUGAGCACCAGCAUUCACCUGCUCUAUCAAAUAUUUCACAAUAAUGUCUUUUUGGAGCCACCUCCUUCUAUCAUAUAACACAUGAGUGUCCAUGGCGCACCAGUGAACCCAAUGAGAGAGAUAAUACAUGCGAGUGAGAUUGAGUUAUGGAUAAAUACAUGUUGUAUACAAUAUGGGCUAAGACUUAAAAGUAAAUUUGAAUGAUAAGGUGAUUCUUUUCAAUGACUGCCUUAAUUGUGGUACUGCUGCAAUAUUGGUUCCUUGAGAGGAUCUGGAAUUACAGGUCCAACACUGGGUUGCAUUUCAACAAUCAUGCCUAAUGCCUGAACAAUCACCAGAAUAUCGCUGAAAAUUAUGGAAGCAUCGAGAUCGUAUCUCUGAAUUGGUUGCAGAGUGACUUCACAAGCGAGCUCUGGUGUUCGGCAUAUAGUGAAAAAAUCGUAACGCGAUCGCAAUUCUCUGAACUCAGGAAAGAGAUAAAUGGAGAAGCUAUGGAACAAAUAAAAAUUCAGAAUAUUAUUCAAGGACUUCCAUUACGAAACUAUGGAGAAUCAGUAGCACUACGAGUUAAACAAAUAUUAUACAUACUGAUUAUUAUCAUUAUUAUUCUAAAUAAUUUAAGAUAGGUACUAAAAAUGUUCAUUAAAUUGUAAGUUAUAUGUAACUCUGGACCUAAGCUAAGUGCACAGAAUUUUCUAUUGUUAGCUUUAAUAAUAUACCUACCUAGUGAUUAUUUUAUUUAAGUUUUUUUUCCUAUAGAGCUCAUAAAAUGUCCACUAUCUUGGAUUUUUGUAUUAAUUUCACAAUGUAUUUAUUUAAAUUAUUUUUUUAUUUUUAUCAAUUCAUU